This 429-nucleotide ribosomal RNA is filed under the name Acidobacteriota bacterium. RNAcentral describes it as "Acidobacteria bacterium partial 16S ribosomal RNA". It matches the Rfam family "Bacterial small subunit ribosomal RNA", at positions 355 to 776 of the family's 1533-position model. The record is from RNAcentral. Lineage: Bacteria; Pseudomonadati; Acidobacteriota.
UGGGGAAUUUUGGACAAUGGGGGAAACCCUGAUCUAGCCAUCCCGCGUGUGCGAUGAAGGCCUUCGGGUUGUAAAGCACUUUUGGCAGGAAAGAAACGUCAUGGGUUAAUACCCCGUGCAACUGACGGUACCUGCAGAAUAAGCACCGGCUAACUACGUGCCAGCAGCCGCGGUAAUACGUAGGGUGCAAGCGUUAAUCGGAAUUACUGGGCGUAAAGCGUGCGCAGGCGGUUCGGAAAGAAAGAUGUGAAAUCCCAGAGCUCAACUUUGGAACUGCAUUUUUAACUACCGGGCUAGAGUGUGUCAGAGGGAGGUGGAAUUCCGCGUGUAGCAGUGAAAUGCGAAGAUAUGCGGAGGAACACCGAUGGCGAAGGCAGCCUCCUGGGAUAACACUGACGCUCAUGCACGAAAGCGUGGGGAGCAAACAGG